Molecule: long non-coding RNA, 707 nt
Filed under: Salmo salar (Atlantic salmon)
Lineage: Eukaryota; Metazoa; Chordata; Actinopteri; Salmoniformes; Salmonidae
Description: lncRNA (ENSSSAG00000098293.1)
Source: RNAcentral
UACAGGGGGUACCGGUACAGAGUCAAUGUGGAGGCUAUAUACAGGGUAUUACGGUACAGAGUCAAUGUGGAGGCUAUAUACAGGGUAUUACGGUACAGAGUCAAUGUGGAGGCUAUAUACAGGGUAUUACGGUACAGAGUCAAUGUGGAGGCUAUAUACAGGGGGUACCGGUACAGAGUCAGUGUGGAGGCUAUAUACAGGGGGUACCGGUACAGAGUCAAUGUGGAGGCUAUAUACAGGGGGUACCGGUACAGAGUCAAUGUGGAGGCUAUAUACAGGAGGUACCGGUACAGAGUCAAUGUGGAGGCUAUAUACAGGGUAUUACGGUACAGAGUCAAUGUGGAGGCUAUAUACAGGGUAUUACGGUACAGAGUCAAUGUGGAGGCUAUAUACAGGGGGUACCGGUACAGAGUCAAUGUGGAGGCUAUAUACAGGGGGUACCGGUACAGAGUCAAUGUGGAGGCUAUAUACAGGGGGUACCGGUACUGAGUCAAUGUGGAGGCUAUAUACAGGGGGAACCGGUACAGAGUCAAUGUGGAGGCUAUAUACAGGGGGUACAGAGUCAAUGUGGAGGCUAUAUACAGGGGGUACAGGUUAGAGGUAAUUUGUACAUGUGGGUGGGGGUGAAGUGACUAUGCAUAGAUAAUAUACAGCGAGUAGCAGCAGUGUACAAAACAAAUGGGGGGGGGUGAAAGUAAAUAGUCCGG